Molecule: long non-coding RNA, 2209 nt
Filed under: Aplysia californica (California sea hare)
Lineage: Eukaryota; Metazoa; Mollusca; Gastropoda; Aplysiida; Aplysiidae
Description: uncharacterized LOC101860290
Source: RNAcentral
GGCGGUGUGACCGUGUAGCGCUGAGGCAGACGACGAAAAUGAGAAUCUCCGCCUCUCUCUCUCUUCUCUCUCUCUCCCUUCUCUCUCUCUCGUUCCCGACAUGACACAGGAGGGUACUGUCGAGUGGAUUAUUUCUAUGCUUCUUGUUGUUCCGAAAGGACGCCUCUGACCGUCUUGGACAUGUGACCACCGGAUAGCUCAACCCUCAUUGGCCUCAUCCCCUGUCCCACAUCCUUGCCAGCGAUCGUCCAAUUGUUGCUGCGUCUGCUGAAAUGACGUAUUUAUGAACUUUGUGUUUAAUACACUCGUGGUAUUGGUCUUUCUGUCUCCAUCGUUCCACAUGCAACUGAGGGAAGGACACCAUCCUCCUCACAUUCUCCUUACAAAUUAUGCUUACAACAGAAAUCAUGGGACACAUUUGUGUUAACCGUUGUUCUCAACUGAACAUUUUAUUUUCGAGGAUAUCAGAGGACUACACAGUAAUAAAAAAAACGGCCCUGUGCGUCUGAUGAGCAUGUAAUCCCCAUGACCUGAAAUGUGUCGAUGGAAGUGUAAAAAGUGUUCUUUCACGAUGAGCAUGUUUGGUUCAUCGGGAAUGCAGGACUCGUGUUUUUAAAAGUUCAGUACCAAGUACUUUGUAGAAUUCUACGAUCAGGGCACUACCCAGGGAAUUAUUAGCUGAGUUUCACGAUGAAUACCAUGACCAGUGCUUGUCAACCUCUUUAUAGACAACGCCCACUUUUGUUCACUUUAAGCGACUAACAUUUUCGUACCGCUUACGUAUGUGUAUUUCCAAGCGGGUCAUUAAAUAAUACAUGGCGAUCCCCACCACACACCAAAAUUACCAAAAUCGCCCACAAGUGGGCAAAACUGUCCUAGUUGGCAAGCACUGAUAAAGACAUAUGAUGAUUAUGUAUUCAUUAUUGGCAGUUCGACAGCUUUCAUGGGCGCCAACAGCUCUAACCUUUUCCUCGGGGAGAUACGUUUAGUGAGCUGAAUAGUGUCAAAAUAUUCCCGGAGCCAUGAGUGACAAACGAGAGCCAUAGAGAUGGCGACGACAUUAAUUUAUGUGGUUUUGUUCUAAUCACGGUCUGACCUCUUUGUGUGUACAUGUCCACAACUGCGCAAGGAACAUCGAUGUUUCACUUUUGUUCAAUACUAACAAUACAGUGUCAUGUCAUUUUGCUCUCUGGUUGAGGAUGGUACUGAAAAGAGAACCUGAAGAAGAUUUUUUUAAGGAGCAGGGAGGGGAUUUUGGGAAAUCCAAAUCUUUCAACCUAAUCUAAGUUGUGUGCAAUGAAAAUAUUUGAGAGUUCUCAGUAUUGCAAAUCUCAAAGUUUGUUAUAAUAAUAUAGUGGAAUAACGAGAAGGAUAUCAUGCUGUUGAAUAUUGCCGGAACUGCCACAAGUGUUGGUCUUGGCUGUGCAAAGGGGUGGGUGCAGACGGGAGUAGAAGGAAGCUCUGAAGACCGGGGACUACAAUACCUGUCUGGGCCGGAGUGUGCGCGAGUGACUACAUCAGCAAUAUUGAUAGAGAAGGUGAGGAGAGACAGAUGAAAAGAGAGGAAGGAAAUGGCGAGAGCAUCGGCUCCGCACGUUCCAGCUACCGGCCGACAGACAGACGAGGGCCAGCAAUCACCGUGCGCACCGAUGAGUCAUCGCUAUUGAUUGGUUGUUGAGCCGGACGCGCCCCCCACGUGACCAAGACUAGAGGGGGAGAGGGACCAAUCAGCGGCCGAUGCUGACUUCGCUUCCGAUGCUCGCCACUGAGGCACGAGGAGAACUCGUCUCAUCUCCCUCCUCUUCCCUCUCCUGCCUCCCUUUCCCCUCCCCACCCCUCCCCUUCCUCUGUUCACUACGGUCGUCGGAUCCGUCGAUAAUGCUUUCACCUGCAUCAAAGUGAGGGUCGGGAGAAAGACUACACACCUGUCGAGUCGUUUUCUCUGUCAUCGCUCCUGGUCUCUACAUGGCCUGUGACCGCCAACUUUCAUCUGGUGCUAUGUUGGAAGUGUGUCUCUGAACUCUAUUCUGGUUUACCCAUAUCUAUUUUUUUUUUUUCGAAUAUUAUGAUAACAAUUAGGAGAAAGCUUUUUCCAGCUCCUCAUUCAUUGAAAAGCUAUUUUUAUUUUCGACCUGCUAUGAAAAAGAGGGUAAUUUGUAAACGUGUAGUUUGUGUAAUUUUCUCAUAUAAUAAUAGCGUGUAUAAUUAA